Molecule: ribosomal RNA, 378 nt
Filed under: uncultured bacterium
Lineage: Bacteria
Description: bacterial SSU rRNA
Rfam family: Bacterial small subunit ribosomal RNA
Source: RNAcentral
UAAUACGGAGGGUGCAAGCGUUAAUCGGAAUUACUGGGCGUAAAGCGCACGCAGGCGGUUUGUUAAGUCAGAUGUGAAAUCCCCGAGCUUAACUUGGGAACUGCAUUUGAAACUGGCAAGCUAGAGUCUUGUAGAGGGGGGUAGAAUUCCAGGUGUAGCGGUGAAAUGCGUAGAGAUCUGGAGGAAUACCGGUGGCGAAGGCGGCCCCCUGGACAAAGACUGACGCUCAGGUGCGAAAGCGUGGGGAGCAAACAGGAUUAGAUACCCUGGUAGUCCACGCUGUAAACGAUGUCGACUUGGAGGUUGUGCCCUUGAGGUGUGGCUUCCGGAGCUAACGCGUUAAGUCGACCGCCUGGGGAGUACGGCCGCAAGGUUAAA